RNAcentral lists this non-coding RNA (110 nucleotides) under Thalassobacillus devorans. Its description in RNAcentral is "SAM riboswitch (S box leader)". It matches the Rfam family "SAM riboswitch aptamer (S box leader)". Rfam says of the family: The SAM riboswitch is found upstream of a number of genes which code for proteins involved in methionine or cysteine biosynthesis in Gram-positive bacteria. The SAM riboswitch acts at the level of transcription termination control. Lineage: Bacteria; Bacillati; Bacillota; Bacilli; Caryophanales; Bacillaceae. The record is from RNAcentral.
UCUUAUCCAGAGAGGCGGAGGGACUGGCCCUUUGAUGCCCGGCAACCAUCGGAUCGUCAUGAUUCGAACGGUGCCAAUUCCUGCAGGAUGAAUGAUCCUGAAAGAUGAGA